UUUUACCUCAAAUUUCGAGGUUUACAAUUUGUUUUUGAACACUGUAGUUUGCAUUUUUACUUUUGCCUGUUCGUGAUCUCUACAACCUUUGAGAAAUUUGAUAUGUUUUUUUCUUACCAAAGCGUCAAAUUAUUCUGAUCUUUCUCGGUUUCUCUAGUCGUUUGCAAAUUGUAUUCGAGCAUUCCUUCCAUCGUACUGACGUUCCUAUAGGGUAUCAUUUACUGAUAUGAAUUUAAAAAAAAAAUCAUAGAAUCGUGUUUUCUUAAGCAACUAACAUUGAUUGAAGGGAAAGCUGGUUGGAUCUGAGGGGACUAAUAUUUUGUAUCGGUGCUUACUGCAUUGCUUUUGUUUCUUAGGUCAUUCCAGUAAGACUGCCCUCAUUCGUAAGCAGAUUCGGGCCUAAUCAGGCAUUGGGGCCACCGCCAAAGUCACCGGGGCUUCAAAGUUGAAAGACAUAUAGGUAAGCUUAUUUGCAUACCAUUACAAGCCUGGUUGUAACUCUAUAUGAGGCUCUACCUUCCACACUAGUCACCGAUAUAAGGAUAGUAUGAGCCCUUCAGCCAAGGGCACCUCUGAUUUCUCACACGACCAUGAAUAGACACGUGGGCUAUAGUAUGCCCACUUCUGCAGAUUGCCACGUGAAAUCAUCAGUAUGCACAUGUUACACAUGUCUCAUAUUCAGUUGAUGGUGGUGCAUUGAAAACUUCCCAUAUGUCCUGUUAAUAUCCCUAUUUAUUACUAGUUAAAACUUGUGUAAAGAGGCAAAGAGCAGUGGUAGAACAAGAUGGUUGGGUUGGUUGGAUCGAUUAGAUUAAGAAUUUAUUAAUAUAUUAGUUUGAAUAAAGGGAUUGAAUCAGUUUUUGAGUGAAUCGUUUAAAACUAGUAAAAAAUUAGAAAUAAGACAAAAAUUGAUGAUUGAACCUGUUUAUAAAUUAUUAAAAUAUUUUUAUAAAUUUUAAAUUGUUUAUUUAAUUAUUAUUGGAUCGAUAGUCGAAUUGAUUGCAAUGAGAAUCAAUAGUCUAAUCAAUUUGAUCAUCGACCCGAUUUUUAAAAUAUUGUCAAAAGUUUUUAGAGGUGAGUUUGAAAUGAUACAAUUUAAUUUUCCAUGUUAUACCUUAUUCUAAAUAACUAAUAACAAUAAAAAGUUUAGUUAGUUAAUGUGAUGUUUUUUCUAAAAGAAAAGGUAAAAUUAUGAUUAUCAAAAUCAUCAUUAUUUACUAAUUUUUCAUUUUAAGAAAAAAACCCAGGAUUCGAUCCUUUAAAAGAAAUUUAUACAUCAAAACAUUAAUGAAAAUUUCUAAAAGUGUUAAUGAUUUGUACUGAGAUAUAAGAAUAGGAACAAUUAAAUCAAAUUAAAGUUAAGAAUUAAUUGGAUAAAGAUGGCUGAGUUGAUUAAAUAUUUAAUAAAAAAACAAGGAAGUGCUUAUAUUGGGGAAUUUUUUCCCAUUAAUAUAUUUUUAUUAUAAUUGAUAAUAUACAUACAUAUUUUAAAGAAAAUUUAACAGUUACUAGCUGCAAAAAUAACAAGAAGUUAAUAAUUAUAGUAUAAGUUCAGGUGAAAUAUGAGAUGAUUGUAGAAACCCCAGAUGAAAAAUAGCAGGGUUUUGUUAGGGAGCAGAAAAGUUGUGGUUGCUGCAUUGGUGGAUGGGCUUCUUUCCCAAAUUUAUAACUUAAGGGCACAUGUUUUAAGAAGGACAGCUGGAUUGUUUCCAAAAUCUGGCAGGGAGUCCUUGUUGAGGGACUGGGAAUGGGCCAUAUUGGAUCCCACUUUCAGAACCCACCACCUCCCACCUGCAAAAAAAAGAUAACCACACGCCCAAUUAGAAAGGGACUAGUCUAAAUUCUUUUAGCACUACAAAAUCUUUUGCAACUAAACAUAAACUUCUUGAUUAGGUUAGAAAUGGCAAUGGAUACUAAAUGAAAUAGAUUUCCGUAUUUGGUCUGUUCUUUUGUGAAUUCAGAUAGAAUAUUAAAUUUACUAUUUGCAGUGGGUUUGAAUAUCUAUUAUUUUAUUGCUUUAAUUUUUGUAUUUCGGAUAUUCAAAUAUGUUAUCUUCAUCUACUUCAUUUUGCAUAUAUCCAAAUUCAAUAUAUCUUCACAUAUCUAGCUAUUAUUUAAAUUUAUUUCUUUAGUCUUUUAAAAAAAAAAUUUAAGUGAAUUUCUGCAAACAAUCCUUCUCCCUUAUUUUGUAACACUAGAAUUCAUAGUGAAAUAUACCUGAAUUUUGUUACUAGAUGAUGGAUCAAAAUGAGAGCCUCCAGCUUGGCUAGCUCGUUGCCUGGACAAGCAUGAACACCGUUGCCAAACGGCAUGAAGGUAUUUGGUUUUGGAGCUACCUGCUUAAAUCCAUUUCCAGAAAAGCAAAAAUAGUAAGUUCCGAUUGUGCUGCUUGUAUGUGUACAUAUGUCUAUUUGUCAGUGUAGUAAAACUGGUAGAAAAUUGCUAUAAUCUUCAUAAGCAAAACAGUAACCACCUCAAAUCUAGAUGGAUCAAAAUCAUGAGGAUCAGAAAAGAAUUCUGGAUUAUGAUGAAUAUUCCUGAACAAUGGCAUCACUUUCCAACCCUUGGGUAUUAGGUAUCCUGUACAUUUAAAAGUUGAAACAACAGUAAUUAAUUAAAACCCCUUUAAACCAAAUAAAUAUAAAAGAAUAUUCCAGUUAAGCCUUUAAUUUAUUUACCCUUAUACUCCACAUCAACUACUGCUUCCCUGAAUGUGAAAGAUAUGAUGCUUGCCAUCCUCAAACCCUCUAGUAAAACCUGAAAUUUCCCAAAAGAUUAGAGGUUUCUUGAAAAUUUUCUUUUCUUGAAACAAACAUUUAUGACUUUGAAACACAGUCCAUACCCUAUAUGUAAGAGUCAUUUUCCUUGUCUGUGCCCAUGUUAGACGCUCCUUCCCUCCAUUGUUCGACUCAUAUAUCGCCUUUUGCUCUGCCUGCAAUGAUUUUGAGAACCAUGAAGUGAGAAAAAAAAAUUCAAUUCUCGGAUGAUAAAUUUGUUAAGUAGUCUUGAAGUGUCAUGCUAGAAUGAUUUACCUUAACUGCUUCUAGAAGCUUGGGGUCAUCAUGGAGGAAUUUGAGAAUCCAUGUUAUAAAACUGGCUGUAGUGUCCUGUGCAGCAAAAAGUAUCCCAAUGAUGUUAUCAGCAAUUUGAUCUUCAGUCAAAGUUUCCCCCUUUUCAUCUUUGAAGUUCAACAGAUGGCCCAAAAGAUCCUUUUCUACCAGCCUUUUCUCCUUUCUCUCACGAAUUAUUUCACUUAGAAUCUGAUUCAGCCUUUUCCUUGCCUUUGAAUAAGGGGAAAAAAACAAAAAAGUUAAUAAAUCAGACUUGCAUCCAUGUGAUCACAUACAUACAUACAUACAUACAUGAACAUACGUUUCUAUGAUAAGGAGAAAUGACAUGUUCUUACCUGGAGUGCUUUGUGAUGUGCACUCCCAGGAAUUUUUGUAGGAAAAGAGUUGUAACCUUUAUCCACUAUCCUGUAGUUCUCCUCCAAUUUCUCUUUGUAGCCUCCAUCUAAGUGACCAAAUAUGGAAAGAAUGCCGACGUCGAAAGAGAACUGUAGAGAGUCAAGGAAAUCCACAUGUUAGAAAAUCAUGAUCCAACACCUAAGUGGAAUUCACAUGACAUUGAAACAUGUCAAAAAGCCAGCUUCAAUAAAAAGAAAAACAAAAUUCUAAAGGGAUUCCAAUGUAGGAAAAGUGAAGAGUACUAUAGGACAACAAAACCAGACAAGUCCUCCAUUAAGUAAUUUAGGUAAGUCAAAGGAGAGAAAGAAAACCCUUUAAACACAUUAGAAACAUGUUUAAAGAUGUGGUCUAAUCAAAUCUUGUCUUUUAAACACAUACAUGUGCAUAUAUUUAUAUACCUUCUUCAUCUCAUAAAAGGUGUUUAUAACUUGUCCAGAGGCAGCCCAUGAGUCCAAGGCAGAAAGAGCUAUGUGUUCAAUAUCAGGAAUUAGCUUCCUGAUGGUAUCAGGUGCUAGUGAGUAUUGAACCAACUUCCUUAGCCGAGUGUGGUAUUCACCCUGGUGAAAGAAGAGCGCCCAAGGGCCA
This 4052-nucleotide long non-coding RNA is filed under the name Gossypium barbadense (sea-island cotton). RNAcentral describes it as "long non-coding RNA (GBAR_LNC022166)". The record is from RNAcentral. Lineage: Eukaryota; Viridiplantae; Streptophyta; Magnoliopsida; Malvales; Malvaceae.